UAAAUUUUAAAAAAUAAGUUACAAAGAUGAAUAAUGCUCAUAACGCCUCAUUAAUUGUUUAUACGUUUUUGUGUUAUUGUUUGUUUAAUAUGUAAGUAUUUAAAACCAUUAUUAUUUAUUACCAAUCAAUAUUUAUAUUGUUGGGUAAACAAAUUUCGGAACAUCUUUCGUCUUGUUAAUGUAGCUGGCAAGCAAAGCGGCGUUAUGAAUAAAUUUAAGUUGCUAUAGAAACAAUGUUCUGUUGAUUGUCACUUGUGCCAUAGAAAAUAAAAAGAGCUAUCCAUUGUGUAUUCCUACUGUUGUAUUAAAUUAAUUUCGUGGACAAAUCUAUCUUCUAUUUUUCUACUGUAAAAUCACACUCAGCCACACGCUCACACACGUCUGACAGUGACAAGACAAGGGAUUUUUCUUGUUUUGACGUAUUUUCUAACCUCUUAGAAUGUUUUAGAAGUCGUAAUAAAAUAAUUUGAAUAUAAAGCUAUGUUUUAAAGUAAAUAAAGACCAUAUUAACGAUGUUAACAUCUGAGAUGAGACAUCGAUUUUAUGGAAUGGAGGAGAAGAUUUAACAGCUAGAAAUUAACAAAAAUCCUGCAAGAGCAUCGAGAUCUCGCUUUUGGCGAGUGGAAGUCCAAAGGCAAAGUGUAGCGGUUUGCAGUUUUUAGCCUCACUUUUUUGGACCUAACAAGACAGGAAAAGAAUAGUCAAAGAGGAAACCCGAGUAGCCAGAUGAUAAUAUAUGAAACCAUGAGCAGCCAGCCAUUGAAACUCUCAGCAAUUUGAAUAACAAUUUUGAUUAUUACCAAUCAUGUAUCAUACCUAUUAAUAGAAAAUUAAAACUGUUAGGUA
This is a long non-coding RNA of Ostrinia nubilalis (European corn borer), 846 nucleotides long. RefSeq lists it as uncharacterized. The transcript is spliced from 3 exons. The record is from RefSeq and is a predicted model, not a curated record. NCBI's taxonomy places the organism in Eukaryota, Metazoa, Arthropoda, Insecta, Lepidoptera, Crambidae.